This 768-nucleotide ribosomal RNA is filed under the name uncultured bacterium. RNAcentral's name for it is "bacterial SSU rRNA". It matches the Rfam family "Bacterial small subunit ribosomal RNA", at positions 8 to 768 of the family's 1533-position model. The record is from RNAcentral.
AGAGUUUGAUCCUGGCUCAGGAUGAACGCUGGCGGCAUGCCUAAUACAUGCAAGUCGAACGAGGAUCCUUCGGGAUCCUAGUGGCGAACGGGUGAGUAACACGUAGGGAACCUGCCCGCGCACCGGGAAUACGCUCUGGAAACGGAGAACAAAUCCCGAUGUACAGGAAGGAGGCAUCUUCUUUCUGUGAAACAUCCUGUAAGGGAUGGGGCGCGGAUGGACCUGCGGUGCAUUAGUUAGUUGGCGAGGGUAAAGGCCCACCAAGACGAUGAUGCAUAGCCGGCCUGAGAGGGCGGACGGCCACAUUGGGACUGAGACACGGCCCAGACUCCUGCGGGAGGCAGCAGUAGGGAAUUUUCGUCAAUGGGCGCAAGCCUGAACGAGCGAUGCCGCGUGAGUGAAGAAGGCCUUCGGGUCGUAAAGCUCUGUUGCGGGGGAAAAAAGGCAUCUGCAGGAAAUGGUAGAUGACAGAUGGUGCCCCGCCAGAAAGUCACGGCUAACUACGUGCCAGCAGCCGCGGUAAUACGUAGGUGGCGAGCGUUAUCCGGAAUGAUUGGGCGUAAAGGGUGCGCAGGCGGUCCUGCAAGUCUGGAGUGAAACGUAUGAGCUCAACUCAUGCAUGGCUCUGGAAACUGGAGGACUGGAGAGCAGGAGAGGGCGGUGGAACUCCAUGUGUAGCGGUAAAAUGCGUAGAUAUAUGGAAGAACACCAGUGGCGAAGGCGGCCGCCUGGCCUGUUGCUGACGCUGAGGCACGAAAGCGUGGGGAG